RNAcentral lists this ribosomal RNA (459 nucleotides) under uncultured bacterium. RNAcentral's name for it is "partial 16S ribosomal RNA". It matches the Rfam family "Bacterial small subunit ribosomal RNA", at positions 338 to 795 of the family's 1533-position model. The record is from RNAcentral.
CCUACGGGUGGCAGCAGUGGGGAAUAUUGGUCAAUGGGCGGGAGCCUGAACCAGCCAAGCCGCGUGAGGGAAGAAGGUACAGCGUAUCGUAAACCUCUUUUGUCAGGGAACAAAGGCGGGGACUAGUCCCCGGAUGAGGGUACCUGAAGAAAAAGCAUCGGCUAACUCCGUGCCAGCAGCCCCGGUAAUACGGAGGAUGCGGGCGUUAUCCGGAUUUAUGGGGUUAAAGGGGUGCGCAGGGGGACUGUUAAGUCAGCGGUAAGAGCCGGGGGCUCAACCCCGGCGAGCCGUGGAAACUGGGGGGCUGGAGUUGGAGAGAAGUACGCGGAAUGCGCGGUGUAGCGGUGAAAUGCUUAGAUAUCGCGCAGAACCCCGAUUGCGAAGGCAGCGUACCGGCUCGACACUGACGCUGAGGCACGAAAGCGUGGGUAUCGAACAGGAUUAGAUACCCCAGUAGUC